RNAcentral lists this ribosomal RNA (274 nucleotides) under uncultured bacterium. Its description in RNAcentral is "partial 16S ribosomal RNA". It matches the Rfam family "Bacterial small subunit ribosomal RNA", at positions 523 to 796 of the family's 1533-position model. The record is from RNAcentral.
AUACAGAGGGUGCAAGCGUUAAUCGGAAUUACUGGGCGUAAAGCGCGCGUAGGUGGUUUGGUCAGUCAGAUGUGAAAGCCCUGGGCUCAACCUGGGAACUGCAUUUGAUACUGACAAGCUCGAGUAUAGUAGAGGGAAGUGGAAUUCCACAUGUAGCGGUGAAAUGCGUAGAUAUGUGGAGGAACAUCAGUGGCGAAGGCGGCUUCCUGGACUAAUACUGACACUGAGGUGCGAAAGCGUGGGGAGCAAACAGGAUUAGAAACCCUAGUAGUCC